GUGGCGGACGGGUGAGUAACGCGUGGGUAACCUGCCUUAUACAGGGGAUAACAGUCAGAAUGACUGCUAAUACCGCAUAAGACCACAGCACCGCAUGGUGCAGGGGUAAAAACUCCGGUGGUACAGGAUGGACCCGCGUCUGAUUAGCCAGUUGGCGGGGUAACGGCCCACCAAAGCGACGAUCAGUAGCCGGCCUGAGAGGGUGAACGGCCACAUUGGGACUGAGACACGGCCCAAACUCCUACGGGAGGCAGCAUG
RNAcentral lists this ribosomal RNA (258 nucleotides) under uncultured bacterium. RNAcentral's name for it is "partial 16S ribosomal RNA". It matches the Rfam family "Bacterial small subunit ribosomal RNA", at positions 95 to 353 of the family's 1533-position model. The record is from RNAcentral.